AUUGAACGCUGGCGGCGUGCCUAACACAUGCAAGUCGAGCGGCAGCGCGGGAGCAAUCCUGGCGGCGAGCGGCGGACGGGUGAGUAAUGCUUGGGAAUCUGCCUGUUAGUGGGGGACAACCCGGGGAAACUCGGGCUAAUACCGCAUACGCACUACGGUGGAAAGCCGGGGACCGCAAGGCCUGGCGCUAACAGAUGAGCCCAAGUCGGAUUAGCUAGUUGGUAGGGUAACGGCCACCAAGGCGACGAUCCGUAACUGGUCUGAGAGGACGACCAGUCACACCGGAACUGAGACACGGUCCGGACUCCGUACGGGAGGCAGCAGGUGGGGAAUAUUGG
Molecule: ribosomal RNA, 338 nt
Filed under: uncultured bacterium
Lineage: Bacteria
Description: bacterial SSU rRNA
Rfam family: Bacterial small subunit ribosomal RNA
Source: RNAcentral